Molecule: ribosomal RNA, 1236 nt
Filed under: metagenome
Description: bacterial LSU rRNA
Rfam family: Bacterial large subunit ribosomal RNA
Source: RNAcentral
UGAGAAGGGACUCGGCAAAUUGAUACCGUAACUUCGGGAGAAGGUAUGCCCCUGGUACGUGAAGGCCCUCGCGGCCGGAGCGGAACGGGGUCGCAGAGAAUCGGUGGCUGCGACUGUUUAUUAAAAACACAGCACUCUGCAAACACGAAAGUGGACGUAUAGGGUGUGGCGCCUGCCCGGUGCCGGAAGGUUAAGUGAUGGGGUGCAAGCUCUUGAUCGAAGCCCCGGUAAACGGCGGCCGUAACAAUAACGGUCCUAAGGUAGCGAAAUUCCUUGUCGGGUAAGUUCCGACCUGCACGAAUGGCGUAACGAUGGCCACACUGUCUCCUCCUGAGACUCAGCGAAGUUGAAAUGUUUGUGAAGAUGCAAUCUCCCCGCGGCUAGACGGAAAGACCCCAUGAACCUUUACUGUAGCUUUGCAUUGGACUUUGACGGGACUUGUGUAGGAUAGGUGGGAGGCUAUGAAACCGGGACGCCAGUUCCGGCGGAGCCACCCUUGAAAUACCACCUUGGUGUCGUCGAGGUUCUAACCCAGGCCUGUGAAUCCAGGUCGGGGACCGUGCAUGGUGGGCAGUUUGACUGGGGCGGCCUCCUCCCAAAAGGUAACGGAGGAGUACGAAGGUCACCUAGGUACGGUCGGACAUCGUACUGAUAGUGCAAUGGCAAAAGGUGGCUUGACUGCGAGACCCACAAGUCGAGCAGGUGCGAAAGCAGGUCAUAGUGAUCCGGUGGUUCUGUAUGGAAGAGCCAUCGCUCAACGGAUAAAAGGUACUCUGGGGAUAACAGGCUGAUUCCGCCCAAGAGUUCACAUCGACGGCGGAGUUUGGCACCUCGAUGUCGGCUCAUCACAUCCUGGGGCUGUAGCCGGUCCCAAGGGUAUGGCUGUUCGCCAUUUAAAGUGGUACGUGAGCUGGGUUUAAAACGUCGUGAGACAGUUUGGUCCCUAUCUGCCGUGGGCGCUGGAAGUUUGAGAGGGCCUGCUCCUAGUACGAGAGGACCGGAGUGGACGCACCCCUGGUGUACCGGUUGUGACGCCAGUCGCAUCGCCGGGUAGCUAUGUGCGGAAGAGAUAACCGCUGAAAGCAUCUAAGCGGGAAACUCGCCUCAAGAUGAGACUUCCCCGGGGCCUCGAGCCCCCUGAAGGGUCGUUGAAGACCACAACGUUGAUGGGCCGGGUGUGUAAGCGUGGCAACACGUUCAGCUAACCGGUACUAAUUGCCCGUGUGGCUUGAUCCC